Nematostella vectensis (starlet sea anemone) is the source of this 1457-nucleotide long non-coding RNA. RefSeq lists it as uncharacterized. Lineage: Eukaryota; Metazoa; Cnidaria; Anthozoa; Actiniaria; Edwardsiidae. The transcript has 2 exons. The record is from RefSeq and is a predicted model, not a curated record.
UACAGUAGCAUGCCUACUAUACAGCAUGGGUCCAACACAGUACAGUAGCAUGUCUACUAUACAACAUGGGUCCAACACAUUACAGUAGCAUGUCUACUAUACAACAUGGGUCCAACACAUUACAGUAGCAUGUCUACUAUACAAAAGGUCCAACACAUUACAGUAGCAUGUCUACUAUACAACAUGGGUCCAACACAUUACAGUAGCAUGUCUACUAUACAACACACUGUAGGUCCAACACAUUACAGUAGCAUGUCUACUAUACAACAUGGGUCCAACACAUUACAGUAGCAUGUCUACUAUACAACAUGGGUCCAACACAUUACAGUAGCAUGUCUACUAUACAACAUGGUACAACACAUUACAGUAGCAUGUCUACUAUACAACACACUGUAGGUCCAACACAUUACAGUAGCAUGUCUACUAUACAACAUGGGUCCAACACAUUACAGUAGCAUGUCUACUAUAAAACACACUGUAGGUCCAACACAUUACAGUAGCAUGUCUACUAUACAACAUGGGUCCAACACAUUACAGUAGCAUGUCUACUAUACAACAUGGGUCCAACACAUUACAGUAGCAUGUCUACUAUACAACAUGGUACAACACAUUACAGUAGCAUGUCUACUAUACAACAUGGGUCCAACACAUUACAGUAGCAUGUCUACUAUACAACAUGGGUCCAACACAGUACAGUAGCAUGUCUACUAUACAACAUGGGUCCAACACAUUACAGUAGCAUGUCUACUAUACAACAUAGGUCCAACACAUUACAGUAGCAUGUCUACUAUACAACAUAGGUCCAACACAUUACAGUAGCAUGUCUACUAAACAACAUAGGUCCAACACAUUACAGUAGCAUGUCUGCUAUACAACAUGGUCCAACACAUUACAGUAGCAUGUCUACUAUACAACAUGGGUCCAACACAUUACAGUAGCAUGUCUACUAUACAACAUGGGUCCAACACAUUACAGUAGCAUGUCUACUAUACAGCAUAGGUCCAACACAUUACAGUAGCAUGUCUACAAUACAACAUGGGUCCAACACAUUACAGUAGCAUGUCUACUAUACAACACACUGUAGGUCCAACACAUUACAGUAGCAUGUCUACUAUACAACAUGGGUCCAACACAUUACAGUAGCAUGUCUACUAUACAACACACUGUAGGUCCAACACAUUUUACAGUAGUAUGUCUACUAUACAACAUGGGUCCAACACAUUACAGUUGCAUCUCUACUAUACAAAAGGUCCAACACAUUACAGUAGCAUGUCUACUAUACAACAUGGGUCCAACACAUUACAGUAGCACGUCUACUAUACAGCAUAGGUCCAGAACAUGGUCCUGGAAAAAAAAUGAUUACGCGCGCACAAUUUAUCCAAACUAUACAAACGAGGUAUCAAAUUAAUCAUUAUAAAAUGAAGAAUCUACCUAUGUUUGUUAUUUAUUGCUUUAAA